AUAGCAUUGGAUCCUAAGCAUCGUGAAUCCAGAUCUGAGCUCAUCCUGUCUUUGUUCUUCUUCUUAGGACUCUGCACUCCCUGGAAAGAUAAAGAUGAACACAUUCAAGGUGAGUAGAACUUACCUUUCUCACUACUAAAAGUGCCUCUUUAAAAAGUGC
Molecule: long non-coding RNA, 160 nt
Filed under: Ictidomys tridecemlineatus (thirteen-lined ground squirrel)
Lineage: Eukaryota; Metazoa; Chordata; Mammalia; Rodentia; Sciuridae
Description: lncRNA (ENSSTOG00000032625.1)
Source: RNAcentral